Molecule: small RNA, 561 nt
Filed under: Pongo abelii (Sumatran orangutan)
Lineage: Eukaryota; Metazoa; Chordata; Mammalia; Primates; Hominidae
Description: processed transcript
Source: RNAcentral
CUCUCCUACCAUCUCUGUAGCAGGCAGUUUUCCUUGGUCUCGUGACUGUGAGAGUUACAAGACCUAAGUUCCAAGAAGCAGCAGUCCCACAACAUUCUGGAUCUGCUUCGAACCUGGAAUAUCCGGAUGGUCACCAUCAUGUCCAUAAUGCUGUGGAUGACCAUAUCAGUGGGCUAUUUCGGGCUUUCGCUUGAUACUCCUAACUUGCAUGGGGACAUCUAUGUGAACUGCUUCCUUUCAGCGAUGGUUGAAGUCCCAGCAUAUGUGUUGGCCUGGCUGCUGCUGCAAUAUUUGCCCCGGCGCUAUUCCAUGGCCACUGCCCUCUUCCUGGGUGGCAGUGUCCUUCUCUUCGUGCAGCUGGUACCCCCAGACUUGUAUUAUUUGGCUACAGUCCUGGUGAUGGUGGGCAAGUUUGGAGUCACAGCUGCCUUUUCCAUGGUCUACGUGUACACAGCCGAGCUGUAUCCCACAGUGGUGAGAAACAUGGGUGUGGGAGUCAGCUCCACAGCAUCCCGCCUGGGCAGCAUCCUGUCUCCCUACUUCGUUUACCUCGGUGCCUAC